CAAGUCUUUGCCCCUAGGCAAACUAUGACGAUGAAUUUGGAUGAUGUUGCCUAGAGUAGGCCAACCUAGGUCACUGACAGAACGUUCCAGAAGUUCUGAGCACAUGCCUAACUAUUAUGAUGGUCACUGUAAAAGGAAAUUAUAGUGCUGAUCCAAAAAAACAAAUGCUCAGAGUUCGAUCAAGUCUAAAACAGGGAUGGAAGGGCCAAGUAGAGCAUAGGUUUAUCUUUCAGGCAUCUCCAAGGCCAAGGACAGACACUGGCUUGCUCUCAGGAAGAACUCUGGUUUGGCCAGAGAUGAAGCCUCCAACCGGUUUUUAAGGAUCUACUCCAAUGCCUCUCCUCCAGCCAAUACCAAGCAGGCUUGGGGACAUUUCGUCAGCGCUCCCAUGUCAUCAACCAUGUAUUUGCCUCUUUCCCCAUCAUUCUUUGGUCAUCACCUACUAGCUAUGACUUUGUUCUUCCCAGGAACAAGCACCAUGCUUGCUUGCUCCUGGAAGUAGACCUCCAUUAAUAUGUUUUCCAUGAAAGUAACUGGCUCAUGUGUUUCACUUUUUUUUUUUUUUUUUUGAGACAGAAUCUCACUUUGUUGCUCAAGCUGGAGUGCAGCGCAGUGGCGCUAUCUUGGCUCAUUGCAACCUCUGCCUCCCGGGUUCAAACAAUUCUCCUGCCUCAGCCUCUUUAGUAGCUAGGGUUACAGGCACAUGUCACCACUCCUGGCUAAUUUUUUUUAUUUUUAGUAGAGACAGGGUUUCACCACCUUGGCCAGACUGGUCUUGAACUCCUAACCUCAGGUCAUCCAUCCGCCUCAGCCUCCCACAGUGCUGGGAUUACAGGUGUGAGCCACCACACCCAGCCAGAUUGCACUCUUAAGCAAAGCUUGAUGCCUUCCCAUCUUCCCAGAGAGGAAAGUCACAUACAGGUAUGUUCAUAUGUAUGUAAAUAUGCACAUGGAUGUAUGGCACAGAGAGCACCCUGCUCCAGCCACCCUGAAAGCUCCAGACUAGAAGAGGGAAAGCUCUCCACUUUGCCAGGAAGCUUUGGUUGGCAGCUAAGCAGGUCAUCUUUGAAGUUAAGACCAUAAUGAUUUAAAAAAAAAAAAACUCAAGGAAGAAAUAAUCAGGAAGCUCAACAGAGGCAUCUGGGCUCAGAAAUCACAAAAGUCAAUGAUAUUUUUAAAAUAAGAAUACUUUCCAGAUUCUCAAGGGACACACCGAGGACCUCUGGUAUCUAACCAUUUGCACCGCCUCCCUUGUCAAGAUUAAAAUGCUUCCUCCCAGCCUCUCUGAAUCUCUGCUGUUCGCACACUGAAGAUAAUCCUCUGGCAUGAGGCUGUGUGGGCCAGAUGGUUAGCAAUUCUUCAGACAGGAUACAGUUCCGCAGAAUGGGAAUGUGGAGGGCUGGCUCUAGGUGGAGAAUCCAUUAAUGGACAAUAGCAACAGGCUCCUCUCUUCCAAGGAAUUGUGCUGGAGAGCUGCCCAGUCCCCCAAGACAAACCAAGUUUGGUCAAAUGUCUCCCAACAAGCCAUCCCAUGGAAACCCCAGUGAGCUUUGACAGGGACAGGGGACACCAUCAAGGAUGACCUUCAGUGGACACCAAUGGUUCAAUAAUAAGUAAAGCUUUAUUGUUUGCAGAUGGCCUUCACACAUGCCCUUCCACCCCUGCCCUUUCAUUUAGUCCCCCAAUAUGCGGUGAAGGAGGUGAUAUUGGUUUCUCCCUAUUACAUACAGAUCUGAGUCCCAAGGAGGGGGAAUGACCUUCCCAAACUGCAUGCCCUGUGUUUUCUAACCCAGAGCUCUCCCUGCAGUCUCUGAAGAGUUCCACCAAUGGCACCCUUUUCUUCUCUAUCUACAAUACCCAGUUCAGAGCCGCUGCAGAGUAAGAACUCAGUAAAUGUUUAAUUGGGCUCUAUUCAACACAGCUCCUGGUAUUGAUGCCAGUGAGUUUUAGGGGUCACAGGAGAAGGCAUUCAGAUGAGGAGAGACAGCCCCAUUUCUCGUCCUGCACAAGUAUUUGAAUAUCUCAUGAACAGAGCCAACUGCAUUCUCUUGGCCUCAGAACGAUCCACCCUGAAGAUCACACAGCUGCCAAGUGGUAGCAGCAGGUUUUGAAUCCAGGCAGUCUGACUUCACAGCACCCACAUCACCUCCCCAAGGUAGUCUGACUUCAUGCCUAUCCCACCCCUCCCUGCACCAAUGUUCUUCUUCAAUGUCCCUUUUUACCCCUUUCAGUUCUCUCUCUCUCAGCUUUUAGGCAUUUUCAUCUUGCUGUUCAUCUCCACUAAAGCAGUGAGUUUUUCAGUGUGGGGUUGAAUAACUUUACAUCUGUCACUAUACCUUAAUAUAAGUGAGUGUGAGUCAAAACAUGAGCUCAUUCAGGGGUACCUGGGUUUCCAGUCUUCUUUCUCCCUAAUAAAGGUCUUCAGCGGUUACCAAGCAGGUGGUUAUU
This 2448-nucleotide long non-coding RNA is filed under the name Callithrix jacchus (white-tufted-ear marmoset). RNAcentral's name for it is "lncRNA (ENSCJAG00000078054.1)". Lineage: Eukaryota; Metazoa; Chordata; Mammalia; Primates; Cebidae. The record is from RNAcentral.